Molecule: ribosomal RNA, 433 nt
Filed under: uncultured bacterium
Lineage: Bacteria
Description: partial 16S ribosomal RNA
Rfam family: Bacterial small subunit ribosomal RNA
Source: RNAcentral
AACGAACGCUGGCGGCAUGCCUAACACAUGCAAGUCGAACGAGACCUUCGGGUCUAGUGGCGCACGGGUGCGUAACGCGUGGGAACCUGCCCUUAGGUUCGGAAUAACUCCCCGAAAGGGGUGCUAAUACCGGAUAAUGUCUUCGGACCAAAGAUUUAUCGCCUUUGGAUGGGCCCGCGUUGGAUUAGCUAGUUGGUAGGGUAAAAGCCUACCAAGGCGACGAUCCAUAGCUGGUCUGAGAGGAUGAUCAGCCACACUGGGACUGAGACACGGCCCAGACUCCUACGGGAGGCAGCAGUGGGGAAUAUUGGACAAUGGGCGAAAGCCUGAUCCAGCUAUGCCUCGUGAGUGAUGAAGUCCUUAGGGUUGUAAAGCUCUUUUACCCGGGAUGAUAAUGACAGUACCGGGAGAAUAAGCUCCGGCUAACUCCGUG